Molecule: ribosomal RNA, 253 nt
Filed under: uncultured bacterium
Lineage: Bacteria
Description: partial 16S ribosomal RNA
Rfam family: Bacterial small subunit ribosomal RNA
Source: RNAcentral
UACGUAGGUGGCAAGCGUUGUCCGGAUUUAUUGGGUUUAAAGGGUGCGUAGGCGGCUUUGUAAGUCAGUGGUGAAAUAUGGCAGCUCAACUGUCAGGGUGCCAUUGAUACUGCGGAGCUUGAGUACAGAUGAGGUAGGCGGAAUUGACGGUGUAGCGGUGAAAUGCUUAGAUAUCGUCAGGAACACCGAUAGCGAAGGCAGCUUACUAGGCUGUAACUGACGCUGAGGCACGAAAGUGUGGGGAUCAAACAGG